This 217-nucleotide long non-coding RNA is filed under the name Manihot esculenta (cassava). RNAcentral describes it as "long non-coding RNA (MESC_LNC004753)". The record is from RNAcentral. Lineage: Eukaryota; Viridiplantae; Streptophyta; Magnoliopsida; Malpighiales; Euphorbiaceae.
AAACCAUAAAAAAAGAGAGAGAAACCAAAAACUUACCCAAAUGAAAAAGCUCGAAAUGGGUUCCUUGAGAAGAAAAGAAACCGAUUUUUGGUGUUUCAGAGAAGAAAUGAGAGAAAAAAUGGAGGUUUUUGAGGGAAAAAGGCUCAGAAAAUGCAGAUUUUGGAGAGGGAGACGAAGGGAGCUUCGGGGAGAGAGAGAAAGCUUCGGGGAGAGGGAA